Long non-coding RNA from Cephus cinctus (wheat stem sawfly), 405 nucleotides. RefSeq lists it as uncharacterized. The record is from RefSeq and is a predicted model, not a curated record. NCBI's taxonomy places the organism in Eukaryota, Metazoa, Arthropoda, Insecta, Hymenoptera, Cephidae. The transcript has 2 exons.
UCUUCGUUUCAAGCUUCGGUUUGUUUCGCGUGAACGUCGUCAGUCACUCCAGUACCUAUAUAAGACGCUUACAGUCUACUAGUCGCAUAUUCCCAUUUGUUUUUUCGCACUCAGUAUCCUCAGCUGUGUCAGAAGCAAAUCUGCUAACAUGAAGUUUUUCGGAAUUGUAAUGGCUAUGGUCAUCGUUGUUCUCUUGGGAUUUACAACAACGGAAGCACAGAGAUUCAAAUAUAACAUCCCACCAUUCAAUCCACGUGGACCCCCCAAACUACCGCCCAUCAGAUUCUGAAAAUUCUAAAAGGAAGAAAGAGGAAUUGGUUAAUAAAAAAUCUAUAUUUAAUAAUUAAAUGUAUCACAUAUAUAAAAAAUAUUUUUGUCUAUAAUAAAUAGUCAUGUUACCCACAA